GGGGGUAAAGCUCAGUGGCUUAGCAUGCAUGAGGUCCUGGGUUCAAUCCCCAGUACCUCCG
This 61-nucleotide transfer RNA is filed under the name Camelus bactrianus (Bactrian camel). It matches the Rfam family "tRNA". Rfam says of the family: Transfer RNA (tRNA) molecules are approximately 80 nucleotides in length. RNAcentral also lists the same sequence under 1 other name. Lineage: Eukaryota; Metazoa; Chordata; Mammalia; Artiodactyla; Camelidae. The record is from Rfam by way of RNAcentral.